This is a small nuclear RNA of Manis pentadactyla (Chinese pangolin), 107 nucleotides long. NCBI's taxonomy places the organism in Eukaryota, Metazoa, Chordata, Mammalia, Pholidota, Manidae. The record is from RefSeq and is a predicted model, not a curated record.
GUGCUCAAUUCAGCAGCCCCUAUACUAAAAUUGGAACAAUUCAGAGACUAUUAGCAUGGCCCCUGCACAAGGAUGACAUGCAAAUUUGUGAAGCAUUCCAUAUACUU